GAUCAUGGCUCAGGAUGAACGCUGGCGGCGUGCUUAACACAUGCAAGUCGAACGGACGGAUUGGAGCUUGCUCCAUGAAGUUAGUGGCGGACGGGUGAGUAACGCGUGGGUAACCUGCCCUAUGCAGGGGGAUAACGUUUGGAAACGAACGCUAAUACCGCAUAAACUAUGGAUGUCUGCAUGGACAUUAUAGCAAAGAUUUUAUCGGCAUAGGAUGGACCCGCGUCAGAUUAG
Molecule: ribosomal RNA, 234 nt
Filed under: uncultured bacterium
Lineage: Bacteria
Description: partial 16S ribosomal RNA
Rfam family: Bacterial small subunit ribosomal RNA
Source: RNAcentral